AGCGAAGCUGACGGAGCAACGCCGCGUGAGGGAUGAAGGCCUCUGGGCUGUAAACCUCUUUAUCAAGGAAGAGAUCUGACGGUACUGAUGAAUAAGCCACGGCUAAUUCCGUGCCCAGCAGCCGCGGUAAUACGGGAGUGGCAAGCGUUAUCCGGAAUUAUUGGGCGUAAAGCGUCCGCAGGCGGCCCUUACAAGUCUGCUGUUAAAAAGUGGAGCUUAACUCCCAUUCAAUGGCAGUGGAAACUGUUGGGCUUGAGUGUGGUAGGGGCAGAGGGAAUUCCCGGUGUAGCGGUGAAAUGCGUAGAUAUCGGGAAGAACACCAGUGGCGAAGGCGCUCUGCUGGGCCAUCACUGACGCUCAUGGACGAAAGCCAGGGGAGCGAAAGGGAUUAGAUACCCCUGUAGUCCUGGCCGUAAACGAUGAACACUAGGUGUCGGGGGAAUCGACCCCUCCGGUGUCGUAGCCAACGCGUUAAGUGUUCCGCCUGGGGAGUACGCACGCAAGUGUGAAACUCAAAGGAAUUGACGGGGGCCCGCACAAGCGGUGGAGUAUGUGGUUUAAUUCGAUGCAACGCGAAGAACCUUACCAGGGUUUGACAUCCUGCGAAUCUCUUGGAAACUUGAGAGUGCCUUCGGGAACGCAGUGACAGGUGGUGCAUGGCUGUCGUCAGCUCGUGUCGUGAGAUGUUGGGUUAAGUCCCGCAACGAGCGCAACCCACGUCUUUAGUUGCCAGCAUUUAGUUGGGCACUCUAGAGAGACCGCCGGUGAUAAACCGGAGGAAGGUGUGGAUGACGUCAAGUCAUCAUGCCCCUUACAUCCUGGGCUACACACGUACUACAAUGCUACGGACAAAGGGCAGCAAGUUCGCGAGGACAAGCAAAUCCCAUAAACCGUGGCUCAGUUCAGAUCGUAGGCUGCAACUCGCCUACGUGAAGGAGGAAUCGCUAGUAAUCGCAGGUCAGCAUACUGCGGUGAAUACGUUCCCGGGCCUGUACA
This 996-nucleotide ribosomal RNA is filed under the name uncultured Synechococcus sp. RNAcentral's name for it is "bacterial SSU rRNA". It matches the Rfam family "Bacterial small subunit ribosomal RNA", at positions 376 to 1387 of the family's 1533-position model. The record is from RNAcentral. Lineage: Bacteria; Bacillati; Cyanobacteriota; Cyanophyceae; Synechococcales; Synechococcaceae.